AGUCAGCCACUCUUUAUCUUUGUACAAGGUCAUGUCUGUCUUGGAGAACUCAUCUCCAAAGAAGCAAGAGGGAGGCUGCGCUGGUAACUCCUGUGGGAAGACUAACUGGGGCGCCAUCACUGGCACCAGCGCACUAUCGCUGUUCCCACACAGGAUGUCAGCCCAUUACAGGGACUAGCCCAGCUCCUGCCUCUAGUGCUUUGGUCUGCUUGAAAACUCAGACAUCAAUAAGGCAAUUAAGUAUACAUAUUGAAUCCUACAAAGCGUGGAUUAUGCAGUACAGCCCACCUCUAGUCUCAAGUAAAAGGAGAGACAGAUCAACAUUUUUCAGGACUUUACAGGACCCCUAAUUACUGCAAGAGUUCCUGAUACCAGGGAAUGAGUCCAUCCAGCAGAUCAUAAACACAUCACCAAGUCAUGAUUGUGGAACAUCACUUCCUGCUGAUACCUAAAUAUUAAUGGCUCCCCAGCGCUCGUGUGGCAGACCGUGGGCCCUCCCGGCCGUGGCUCUUCUCGCCCCCACCCGCAUUGGGGAGGGAUGUGCAGCAGCAGCAGCACGCGGAAGGGGCAGCUUAUGUGGGAGACAUGUCGGGACUUCAGCCACAAUCCUGCCUGGAAGAACAAAUCUGCCCUCCUAAAAGCCCCAUGAGAUCUGCCGUGGCCCCAGGUGGGGCUCCUAGCGGGCUAACGCUAGCGCUCCCACGCCAGGCAAGCUAGGCUUCUUCAGCCUUCAGACUGUCAGAGCCUUUUCUCUCAGCAGCAACAAUUACCAACAACACUAGAGAUGGCGGUGGUAUUAGAUCUGAGGAUGACUCAUCGCUGAACCAGCCCUGUCAAGCAAGAUAAAUACAAUUUAGUUGUUAGCUAAUCUAUUUUUGUUUGUG
This 884-nucleotide long non-coding RNA is filed under the name Numida meleagris (helmeted guineafowl). RNAcentral's name for it is "lncRNA (ENSNMEG00000003463.1)". The record is from RNAcentral. Lineage: Eukaryota; Metazoa; Chordata; Aves; Galliformes; Numididae.